UACGGAGGAGGCAAGCGUUAUCCGGAAUCAUUGGGCGUAAAGCGUCCGUAGGUGGUUGGUCAAGUCUGCUGUUAAAGCGCGGAGCUUAACUCCGUAUCGGCAGUGGAAACUGGUCAGCUAGAGUGCAGUAGGGGUCGCGGGAAUUCCCAGUGUAGCGGUGAAAUGCGUAGAGAUUGGGAAGAACAUCGGUGGCGAAAGCGCGCGACUGGGCUGUAACUGACACUGAGGGACGAAAGCUAGGGGAGCGAAAGGGAUUAGAUACCUAGUAGUCC
RNAcentral lists this ribosomal RNA (272 nucleotides) under uncultured prokaryote. RNAcentral's name for it is "partial 16S ribosomal RNA". It matches the Rfam family "Bacterial small subunit ribosomal RNA", at positions 524 to 796 of the family's 1533-position model. The record is from RNAcentral.